This 479-nucleotide ribosomal RNA is filed under the name uncultured bacterium. RNAcentral's name for it is "partial 16S ribosomal RNA". It matches the Rfam family "Bacterial small subunit ribosomal RNA", at positions 28 to 507 of the family's 1533-position model. The record is from RNAcentral.
GAUGAACGCUAGCGGGAGGCCUAACACAUGCAAGCCGAGCGGUAUUUGUUCUUCGGAACAGAGAGAGCGGCGCACGGGUGCGGAACACGUGUGCAACCUGCCUUUAUCUGGGGGAUAGCCUUUCGAAAGGAAGAUUAAUACCCCAUAAUAUAUUGAGUGGCAUCACUUGAUAUUGAAAACUCCGGUGGAUAGAGAUGGGCACGCGCAAGAUUAGAUAGUUGGUGAGGUAACGGCUCACCAAGUCAAUGAUCUUUAGGGGGCCUGAGAGGGUGAUCCCCCACACUGGCACUGAGACACGGACCAGACUCCUACGGGAGGCAGCAGUGAGGAAUAUUGGACAAUGGGUUAGCGCCUGAUCCAGCCAUCCCGCGUGAAGGACGACGGCCCUAUGGGUUGUAAACUUCUUUUGUAUAGGGAUAAACCUACUCUCGUGAGAGUAGCUGAAGGUACUAUACGAAUAAGCACCGGCUAACUCCGUG